RNAcentral lists this ribosomal RNA (495 nucleotides) under uncultured bacterium. Its description in RNAcentral is "partial 16S ribosomal RNA". It matches the Rfam family "Bacterial small subunit ribosomal RNA", at positions 28 to 507 of the family's 1533-position model. The record is from RNAcentral.
GACGAACGCUGGCGGCGUGCCUAAUACAUGCAAGUAGAACGCUGAAGGAGGAGCUUGCUUCUCUGGAUGAGUUGCGAACGGGUGAGUAACGCGUAGGUAACCUGCCUGGUAGCGGGGGAUAACUAUUGGAAACGAUAGCUAAUACCGCAUAAUAGUAGAUGUUGCAUGACAUUUGCUUAAAAGGUGCAAUUGCAUCACUACCAGAUGGACCUGCGUUGUAUUAGCUAGUUGGUGGGGUAACGGCUCACCAAGGCGACGAUACAUAGCCGACCUGAGAGGGUGAUCGGCCACACUGGGACUGGGACACGGCCCAGACUCCUACGGGAGGCAGCAGGAGGGAAUCUUCGGCAAUGGACGGAAGGCUGACCGAGCAACGCCGCGGGAGUGAAGAAGGUUGUCGGAUCGGAAAGCUCUGUUGUAAGAGAAGAACGAGUGUGAGAGUGGAAAGUUCACACUGUGACGGUAUCUUACCAGAAAGGGACGGCUAACUACGUG